Small nucleolar RNA from Gastrolobium bilobum, 169 nucleotides. RefSeq annotates it as small nucleolar RNA snoR143. The record is from RefSeq and is a predicted model, not a curated record. Lineage: Eukaryota; Viridiplantae; Streptophyta; Magnoliopsida; Fabales; Fabaceae. The transcript has a single exon.
UUGCACAUUAUAUAUCGUAGGUCUCUCUGAUUAUGUAUAGAGCGACCUUGAGCUAUGGGUGCAUAAAUUAAGAGCUGAUUAGUCAGCAGGCAGCCAGACAACUGCUGAGAUGAAUCCACAGAUGAACAGCUCUUUCAUGCUGUUUGUCUACUAAUUCCACCUUACAUCU